GCAGAGGUGGCUCAGUGGUAGAAUUCUCACCUUCUGUGUGGGAGACCUGGGUUGUAUUCCUGGCCAGUGCA
RNAcentral lists this transfer RNA (71 nucleotides) under Loxodonta africana (African savanna elephant). It matches the Rfam family "tRNA". Rfam says of the family: Transfer RNA (tRNA) molecules are approximately 80 nucleotides in length. Their secondary structure includes four short double-helical elements and three loops (D, anti-codon, and T loops). The record is from Rfam by way of RNAcentral. Lineage: Eukaryota; Metazoa; Chordata; Mammalia; Proboscidea; Elephantidae.